AGCAUCCGUAGCUCGUUUUGUAAGUUUUCGGUUAAAUCCAUGCGCUUAACGUAUGGGCUGCCGGGAAUACUGCAUAACUAGGAAGUGGGAGAGGUAGACGGUACUCGGUAGGAAGGGGUAAAAUCCUUUGAUCUAUUGAUGACCACCUGUGGCGAAGGCGGUCUACCAGAACACGUUCGACGGUGAGGGAUGAAAGCUGGGGGAGCAAACCGGAUUAGAUACCCGGGUAGUCCCAGCUGUAAACUAUGCAAACUCAGUGAUGCAUUGGCUUGUGGCCAAUGCAGUGCUGCAGGGAAGCCGUUAAGUUUGCCGCCUGGGAAGUACGUACGCAAGUAUGAAACUUAAAGGAAUUGGCGGGGGAGCACAAGCC
RNAcentral lists this ribosomal RNA (370 nucleotides) under uncultured Nitrososphaerota archaeon. RNAcentral's name for it is "bacterial SSU rRNA". It matches the Rfam family "Archaeal small subunit ribosomal RNA", at positions 514 to 884 of the family's 1478-position model. Lineage: Archaea; Thermoproteati; Nitrososphaerota. The record is from RNAcentral.